UGGUGGAGUGAUUUGUCUGGUUAAUUCCGUUAACGAACGAGACCUCGACUUACUAAAUAGUUUAAAUCAUUUUUCGAAAUGUUUAUAAGCUUCUUAGAAGGACUAUUGGCGCGUAGCCAGUGGAAGUUCGAGGCAAUAACA
Molecule: ribosomal RNA, 141 nt
Filed under: uncultured eukaryote
Lineage: Eukaryota
Description: partial 18S ribosomal RNA
Rfam family: Eukaryotic small subunit ribosomal RNA
Source: RNAcentral